AACGUAGGAGGCAAGCGUUAUCCGGAUUCAUUGGGCGUAAAGCGCGUGCAGGCGGUGCUUUAAGUUGGACGUAAAAUCUCCCGGCCUAACUGGGAGGGGCCGUUCAAUACUGGGGCACUUGAGGUCAGAAGAGGGAAGUGGAAUUCCCGGUGUAGCGGUGGAAUGCGUAGAUAUCGGGAGGAACACCCGUGGCGAAGGCGGCUUCCUGGGCUGUACCUGACGCUGAGACGCGAAAGCUAGGGUAGCAAACGGGAUUAGAUACCCCCGUA
RNAcentral lists this ribosomal RNA (269 nucleotides) under uncultured prokaryote. RNAcentral's name for it is "partial 16S ribosomal RNA". It matches the Rfam family "Bacterial small subunit ribosomal RNA", at positions 524 to 792 of the family's 1533-position model. The record is from RNAcentral.